RNAcentral lists this ribosomal RNA (671 nucleotides) under uncultured bacterium. Its description in RNAcentral is "bacterial SSU rRNA". It matches the Rfam family "Bacterial small subunit ribosomal RNA", at positions 93 to 796 of the family's 1533-position model. The record is from RNAcentral.
AGUGGGCGGACGGGGAGUCACAGUAAGAAUUGCCUCCAGGAGGGGGAAACAACCGGAAACGGUUGCUAAUACCCCAUAUGCUUUCGAGUGAAACGGUUCUUCCGCCUAAAGAGAAGCUCGCGGCUGAUUAGCUCGUUGGUAGAGUAAUAGCCUACCAAGGCGACGAUCAGUAUCUGGUUUGAGAGGACGAUCAGACACACUGGAACUGAGACACGGUCCAGACUCCUACGGGAGGCAGCAGUAGGGAAUUUUCCGCAAUGGGCGAAAGCCUGACGGAGCAAUACCGCGUGAGGGAUGACGGCCUAUGGGUUGUAAACCUCUUUUUUCAGGGAGGAAACAAAUGACGUGUACCUGAAGAAUAAGCAUCGGCUAACUCCGUGCCAGCAGCCGCGGUAAGACGGAGGAUGCAAGUGUUAUCCGGAAUCACUGGGCGUAAAGCGUCUGUAGGUGGUCCAAUAAGUCAACUGUUAAAUCUUGAGGCCUAACCUCAAAAUCGCAGUCGAAACUAUUAGACUAGAGUAUAGUAGGGGUAAAGGGAAUUUCCAGUGGAGCGGUGAAAUGCGUAGAGAUUGGAAAGAACACCGAUGGCGAAGGCACUUUACUGGGCUAUUACUAACACUCAGAGACGAAAGCUAGGGUAGCAAAUGGGGAUUAGAUACCCCCAGUAGUCC